AUCUCCUCGCCAGCUCUGAUUCGUGGACAGCAACAGCCUCAGCCUCACACGAAUGUUAUCUUCACUGGCCUCGAGUGCAAAAUGCUGUGGCCGAGCGGCGGAGAGGAAGAUGGCUGCCACCAGCCUCAGCUCCUCCUCCCCGCCCAGGGUUACUGCAAAACUAGCAGGAGUCUCCAGAUCUUCCUCGCUCUACACCCAGCUCCGCUUCUGCUCGAGGCAGCCCUUCCAGAAACCGGCAACAGCUGCAGCCUUCCGGAAGCUCCAACCCGAGCUUCUCCUGCUGAGCUUGCCGGCUAGGAAUAGGCAUGCAAGAACCAGCAGCCGAGCCACGGACAACGACCAAGCGGCGCCGGCCGCGGCGCAAGAAACGACGACCCCCUCUCCUGUUCCUCCGGCUGCUCCCAGCCCCAGCGCCGAGAAAUCCCCCGUGACGCCGGGCAACGGCCAGCCGCAGCAGCCGGUCGCCAACGCCAACGGCAGCGCGCCGAGCGAGCCGCCGAAGCGGGCGCCCCUGACGGCCCGGGAGCGGCUGCGCGCGGCGCGCGUGCUGGGCAAGUACGCGGAGCCGUCGGCGAAGGGGGCGUCGUCGUCGCCGUCGAAAUCGAAAUCGAGCAAGCCGGAGUUCGGGAGCGGGGUGCUGGACGCGCUGCGCGAGGCGGACGCGAAGAAGGCCGGGGGCGGCGGCGGGCGGCGCGGGUCGCGGCUGCCCGAGGCGCCGGGCAACCUGUUCGACGACAGCAAGCGCGGGAUGCCCAAGGAAGGGUGGACGUUCGAGCUGCCGUUCGGGGUGGACGUGUUCCUCGUCCUCGUGUCCUUCACGCUCAUCACCACCAUCAUGUUCGGCACCGCCUUCCUCGUCUGGAAGCUCGGCGGCAUUCACUUCAACGAGUACUAGCCUGUAGACUGUCUCUAGCUUGGGGGUGAUUCUUGCAGUGCUAGAGGAGAGAAUUGCUUGGUCCUGUACUAUAUUGAUCCCCCCCGGACGUGGGUUUCCGGCAGUUUUUUUGAAAACAUAGGAAAUGUCGUGUCCGUACGAAGUAGUAAUCUACAAACAUGUUCUAGUGUCGCCACAAGCGAGAUUGGGCAAGGAAUUACAAUCUAGUUAAAGUCCAGUGCUUAGCCUACGCAACAAAGUGGCUGUAGUUUAGUGGUGAGAAUUCCACGUUGUGGCCGUGGAGACCUGGGCUCGAAUCCCAGCAGCCACACACUUGGUGUAAAACUUUUUUUUCUUUUUUCUUUUCCAAUUAUAUUCUGCUUAUUAGAAUUACAUCAUUUGUUGGCUUGUUGCUAACCGACGCAUCAGAUUCGACCGGCGUUAAGCACGGACGGCUAGGACGGCACGGACUGUCUUCCUCCCCUUCCUCGCCUCUCCGCGCUCCCCCUUAUCCAUGAUUCCAUCGCCAUAGCCGCGGAACGCACAAAGGAUUCCUCCUCCAUUUUGCCAGAUGAAUCCCGACGGUGGCGGCUCCAGUUCAUCCCCGCCACCUCCGUCCCCAAGCCGAGGCGCGGACGCGGAGGCAAAGGAGGAGGAGCACGGCCGCAAGCAGGUGGUGGUGGUGCUGGUGGGCCCGCCGGGCAGCGGCAAGUCCACGUUCGCCGAUGCCGUCGUUGCCGGCUCCACCGCCGGCCGCUCGUGGGUUCGCAUCUGCCAGGAUACAAUUGGAAAUGGUAAAGCUGGGACGAAAAUACAGUGCUUGAAGGCUACAUCUGAUGCUUUGAAGGAGGGCAAGAGUGUUCUCAUUGACCGCUGCAACUUGGAACGAGAGCAGCGCGCUGACUUUGUGAAGCUGAGCAGCACAUUGCAUGUGGAUGUGCAUGCUGUAGCCCUGGAUUUACCUGCUAAGGUCUGUAUCUCGCGUGCAGUGAGCCGUAAGGGCCAUGAAGGAAAUCUGCAGGGUGGAAAGGCCGCCCUUGUUGUGAACCGGAUGCUGCAGAAGAAGGAAACACCCUUGCUGACAGAAGGUUUCAGUAGGAUCAUGUCCUGUAAUGAUGAUGGUGACAUUAAAAAGGCAGUUGAUAUGUAUAAUGCUUUAGGGCCUUCAGAUUGUCUUCCAUCAGGAAUUUUUGGUCAGAAGAGCAAAGGACCCAUACAAGUUGGUAUAAUGAAGUUUCUAAAGAAGAGUGAUACUUCCAGUGUUGAGAAAUCCAGUGGACCCAAGAUUACAUUGAGUGAAAGCAAGCCAGAGCAGCAAAACCCUUUAGCAAAACAUGAAAAGGUUGAAGAUGGUAUGUCCUGCCCAAUGGAAGUUGAGAAGGGGUUGAAUGACAAGAAUGAAAAUGAAAAGCAUGCUAAAGAAUGUGAUUCUGAUGAUGUUGGUUCCUGCACUCUGGCAUUUCCAUCUAUUUCUACUGCUGACUUCCAAUUUGAUCUUGACAGAGCAUCUGACAUUAUAGUAGACACAGCUGCUGAUUUCUUGCAGAAAUUUGAUAAUAUCAGACUAGUUCUUGUAGACCUGAGCGAGAAAUCAAGAAUAUUAUCAUUGGUCAAAGAGAAGGCUUCUAAAAAGAGCAUUGACUGCAGCAGGUUUUUCACAUUCGUGGGAGAUAUCACUCAGUUGCACACGAAAGGAGGUCUUCGGUGCAGCGUGAUUGCUAAUGCUGCUAACUGGAGGUUAAAGCCUGGAGGUGGAGGGGUUAACGCUGCUAUAUUCAGUGCUGCUGGAGAAUCUUUACAUCAUGCAACCAAAAAAUGUGCUGAUGCACUGAGGCCAGGAACCUCUGUUGUUGUUCCACUUCCAUCAAUUUCUCCUCUGCAUCAACGAGAAGGUGUGACCCAUGUCAUCCAUGUGCUUGGGCCAAAUAUGAACCCGAUGCGGCCAGAUUAUCUGAAGAAUGAUUAUAUCAAAGGGUCUAAGAUUCUUCGUGAAGCAUACAAUUCGCUUUUUGAGAAUUUUGCAUCCAUUGUCCGGGGCCACAUGGGAAAGCAGAACGGAAAGUUGGGGGCAGAAAUGUCAGCAUCUGGAGGGACAUCACCCAAUGACACAAAAAUGAAGCGUGAGGACAGCCAUGGAUCUGAAAGGAUGAAAAAACAUAAGUUGCUUCCACCCAUCAUGACUGCAAAGCAACAGCAUGAGCAUACGAAGGCUAACACGCCAAAUUACCAUGAUAAGUCUAUGACUUCAUCUGCUGCUCCAAACCAAGCUAGGGAAGGAGACACAAAAAAGAGUGGCGUGGUCGCCAGUAAGACUUGGGGAUCAUGGGCCCGGACCCUUUAUGAACUUGCCAUGCACCCAGAGAAAUACAAGAACACAGAUUCUAUCCUGGAGACAUCUGACGAAUUUAUUGUUCUGAAAGAUCUCUAUCCAAAGGCUAAAAAGCAUGUUUUGGUGAUAUCUAGGACAGAUGGUCUUGACUCCCUAGCAGAUGUCAAAAAAGAACACUUGCCUUUGCUGAGGAGGAUGCAUUCAGCUGGGGUGAAAUGGGCACAUAAGUUCCUGGAGGAAGAUGCAUCUUUGGUAUUCAGGCUUGGAUACCACUCGGUUCCAUCUAUGCGGCAACUGCAUCUUCACAUUAUUAGUCAGGAUUUUGAUUCCACGAGCUUGAAAAAUAAGAAGCAUUGGAACUCCUUCACCACACCGUUUUUUCGUGAUUCUGUUGAUGUCAUCGAGGAGAUUGAGCAACAUGGAUCAGCAACCGCCAACAGUGAUGAAAAGAUACUGGCAAUGGAACUUCGGUGCCACAGGUGCAGGAGCGCGCAUCCAAACAUCCCAAAGCUGAAAUCCCACAUCGCGAACUGUAAAUCUUCCUUCCCUUCGCAUCUUCUGCAGAAAAACAGGUUGGUAUCUUCGUAGACACGAUGCAUAUGGAUUGCACUUAGAAGUUGGAAUUAGCUAUGGCUUUGCGAGCACAUUUUGUAUCUCGUGCUUGGACAAACCUUUUGUUUUUGUUUCUUAUGCUAACUUCGCAGAAUCCUAUCUUCUCUGAACUGCGGUUUUGGAAAACUGCUACUGGUUCUAACAUGUCAGCCGUCUGUUUGUGACGUGAGAAUGCACUUCAUCCUGAAGCA
This is an RNA transcript of Panicum virgatum (switchgrass), 4006 nucleotides long. It is a transcript of the gene named transcription factor bHLH140-like, with no coding region annotated. The transcript has 8 exons. The record is from RefSeq and is a predicted model, not a curated record. Lineage: Eukaryota; Viridiplantae; Streptophyta; Magnoliopsida; Poales; Poaceae.